Molecule: ribosomal RNA, 497 nt
Filed under: uncultured bacterium
Lineage: Bacteria
Description: partial 16S ribosomal RNA
Rfam family: Bacterial small subunit ribosomal RNA
Source: RNAcentral
GAUGAACGCUGGCGGCGUGCCUAAUACAUGCAAGUCGAGCGAACAGACGAGGAGCUUGCUCCUCUGACGUUAGCGGCGGACGGGUGAGUAACACGUGGAUAACCUACCUAUAAUACUGGGAUAACUUCGGGAAACCGGAGCUAAUACCGGAUAAUAUAUUGAACCGCAUGGUUCAAUAGUGAAAGACGGUUUUGCUGUCACUUAUAGAUGGAUCCGCGCCGAAUUAGAUAGUUGGUAAGGUAACGGCUUACCAAGGCAACGAUGCGUAGCCGACCUGAGAGGGUGAUCGGCCACACUGGAACUGAGACACGGUCCAGAGUCCUACGGGAGGCAGCAGUAGGGAAUCUUCCGCAAUGGGCGAAAGCCUGACGGAGCAACGCCGCGUGAGUGAUGAAGGUCUUCGGAUCGUAAAACUCUGUUAUUAGGGAAGAACAAAUGUGUAAGUAACUAUGCACGUAUUGACGGUACCUAAUAAGAAAGCAACGGCUAACUACGUG